GUGCCAGCCGCCGCGGUAAUACAGAGGGUGCGAGCGUUGUCCGGAAUCACUGGGCGUAAAGGGCGCGUAGGUGGCGACCCAAGUCAGUGGUGAAAGCUCGACGCUCAACGUCGAGUCGGCCACUGAUACUGGGUUGCUCGAGCACUGUAGAGGCAGAUGGAAUUCCGGGUGUAGCGGUGGAAUGCGUAGAGAUCCGGAAGAACACCGGUGGCGAAGGCGGUCUGCUGGGCAGUAGCUGACACUGAGGCGCGACAGCGUGGGGAGCAAACAGGAUUAGAAACCCUGGUAGUCC
Molecule: ribosomal RNA, 292 nt
Filed under: uncultured bacterium
Lineage: Bacteria
Description: partial 16S ribosomal RNA
Rfam family: Bacterial small subunit ribosomal RNA
Source: RNAcentral